AUUGAACGCUGGCGGCAGGCCUAACACAUGCAAGUCGAGCGGAGCGGCGGACGGGUGAGUAAUGCCUAGGAAUCUGCCUGGUAGUGGGGGAUAACGUCCGGAAACGGGCGCUAAUAACGCAUACUAACAGAUGAGCCUAGGGCGGAUUAGCCAGUUGGUGGGGUCAAGGCCUACCAAGGCGACGAUCCGUAGCUGGUCUGCGAGGAUGAUCAGCCACCCUGUGACUGAUAAACGGUCCAGACUCCAACGGGAGGCAGCAGUGGGGAAGAUUGGACAAUGGGCGAAAGCCUGAUCCAGCCAUGCCGCUUGGUUGAAGAAGGUCUUCGGAUUGUUAAGCACUUUAAGUUGGGAGGCGUUACCAACAGAAUAAGCACCGGCUAACGUCGUGCCAGCAGCCGCGGUAAUAC
This 407-nucleotide ribosomal RNA is filed under the name uncultured bacterium. RNAcentral describes it as "partial 16S ribosomal RNA". It matches the Rfam family "Bacterial small subunit ribosomal RNA", at positions 30 to 526 of the family's 1533-position model. The record is from RNAcentral.